Molecule: ribosomal RNA, 459 nt
Filed under: uncultured bacterium
Lineage: Bacteria
Description: bacterial LSU rRNA
Rfam family: Bacterial large subunit ribosomal RNA
Source: RNAcentral
CGGAUGACUUGUGGUAGGGGCGAAGACUAAUCAAACUGGGAGAUAGCUCGUACUCUCCGAAAUGCCUUUUGGGGCAGCGUUUGGGAAUUUGAGUUUUAUAGAGGUAGAGCUACCGAUUGGGCUAGGGGGCUUCACCGCCUACCAAACCCUGACGAACUCCGAAUGCUAUAAAAUAUAUCCAGCAGUGAGGCAGCGAGUGAUAAGGCCCGUUGCCGAAAGGGAAACAACCCAGACCAUCAGCUAAGGUCCCAAAGUCUAUAUUAAGUUGCACAAACGUUGUCCGAUUGCUAUAACAGCUAGGAUGUUUGCUUGGAAGCAGCAAUCAUUUAAAGAGUGCGUAACAGCUCACUAGUCGAGUGAUCGGGCGCGGAAGAAUGACCGGGCAUAAAAUAUAGCACCGAAGCUAUGGAUUCGAAAGAAUGGUAGGAGAGCAUUCCAGCAUCUGUGAAGGUGAACCGU